RNAcentral lists this ribosomal RNA (683 nucleotides) under uncultured bacterium. RNAcentral describes it as "bacterial SSU rRNA". It matches the Rfam family "Bacterial small subunit ribosomal RNA", at positions 30 to 757 of the family's 1533-position model. The record is from RNAcentral.
CGAACGCUGGCGGCAGGCCUAACACAUGCAAGUCGAGCGGCCGUAGCAAUACGGCAGCGGCAGACGGGAGAGUAACACGUGGGAACGUGCCCUAUGGUUCGGAAUAACGCAGGGAAACUUGCGCUAAUACCGAAUAAGCCCUUACGGGGAAAGAUUUAUCGCCAUUGGAGCGGCCCGCGUCCGAUUAGCUAGUUGGUGAGGUAACGGCUCACCAAGGCGACGAUCGGUAGCUGGUCUGAGAGGAUGACCAGCCUCACUGGGACUGAGACACGGCCCAGACUCCUACGGGAGGCAGCAGUGGGGAAUAUUGGACAAUGGGCGCAAGCCUGAUCCAGCCAUGCCGCGUGGGUGAUGAAGGCCCUAGGGUUGUAAAGCCCUUUCAGCGGGGAAGAUAAUGACGGUACCCGCAGAAGAAGCCCCGGCUAACUUCGUGCCAGCAGCCGCGGUAAUACGAAGGGGGCUAGCGUUGCUCGGAAUUACUGGGCGUAAAGCGCACGUAGGCGGCUUUCUAAGUCGGGGGUGAAAUCCUGGAGCUCAACUCCAGAACUGCCUUCGAUACUGGAGAGCUCGAGUCCGGGAGAGGUGAGUGGAACUGCGAGUGUAGAGGUGAAAUUCGUAGAUAUUCGCAAGAACACCAGUGGCGAAGGCGGCUCACUGGCCCGGUACUGACGCUGAGGUGCGAA